RNAcentral lists this ribosomal RNA (410 nucleotides) under uncultured bacterium. RNAcentral's name for it is "bacterial SSU rRNA". It matches the Rfam family "Bacterial small subunit ribosomal RNA", at positions 370 to 772 of the family's 1533-position model. The record is from RNAcentral.
AAUGGGCGCAAGCCUGAUCCAGCCAUUCCGCGUGAGUGAAGAAGGCCUUCGGGUUGUAAAGCUCUUUCGGCAGGGAAGAAACGGCCAUGGCUAAUAUCCGUGGCUAAUGACGGUACCUGAAGAAGAAGCACCGGCUAACUACGUGCCAGCAGCCGCGGUAAUACGUAGGGUGCGAGCGUUAAUCGGAAUUACUGGGCGUAAAGCGUGCGCAGGCGGUUUUGUAAGACAGAUGUGAAAUCCCCGGGCUCAACCUGGGAACUGCGUUUGUGACUGCAAGACUCGAGUACGGCAGAGGGGGGUGGAAUUCCACGUGUAGCAGUGAAAUGCGUAGAGAUGUGGAGGAACACCGAUGGCGAAGGCAGCCCCCUGGGUCGAUACUGACGCUCAUGCACGAAAGCGUGGGGAGCAAA